CCUACGGGGGGCUGCAGUGAGGAAUAUUUGUCAAUGGACGAGAGUCUGAACCAGCCAAGUAGCGUGAAGGAUGACUGCCCUAUGGGUUGUAAACUUCUUUUAUAUGGGAAUAAAAUGUUCCACGUGUGGGAUUUUGUAUGUACCAUAUGAAUAAGGAUCGGCUAACUCCGUGCCAGCAGCCGCGGUAAUACGGAGGAUCCGAGCGUUAUCCGGAUUUAUUGGGUUUAAAGGGAGCGUAGGUGGAUUGUUAAGUCAGUUGUGAAAGUUUGCGGCUCAACCGUAAAAUUGCAGUUGAAACUGGCAGUCUUGAGUACAGUAGAGGUGGGCGGAAUGCGUGGUGUAGCGGUGAAAUGCUUAGAUAUCACGAAGAACUCCGAUUGCGAAGGCAGUUCACUGGACUGCAACUGACACUGAGGCUCGAAAGUGUGGGUAUCAAACAGGAUUAGAUACCCUUGUAGUC
RNAcentral lists this ribosomal RNA (460 nucleotides) under uncultured bacterium. Its description in RNAcentral is "partial 16S ribosomal RNA". It matches the Rfam family "Bacterial small subunit ribosomal RNA", at positions 338 to 795 of the family's 1533-position model. The record is from RNAcentral.